RNAcentral lists this long non-coding RNA (12246 nucleotides) under Xyrichtys novacula (pearly razorfish). The record is from RNAcentral. Lineage: Eukaryota; Metazoa; Chordata; Actinopteri; Labriformes; Labridae.
UUUGGGGUGUAAAAAUUCCUUCACAAAUGUGUUGAUGGCUGGACAUUGCAUCAUCCUAGAAAACUUGGAGGCCAGUGAGGACAAAAAUAAAAAGUUAUAAAACAUUUAAGAAUGUGGAUUUUUGGGUUAUUUUUGGCGCCCCCUAGAACCUAAACCAUGGGGUGCAGCAUCAUGAUUUGAAUAACUUUUAAUGGCCAUGGGGUGUAGAUUGGCCUGAGCAAAUGUGGUGCCGGUGGAACGAAAGCCUUCGGAGGAGUUAGCGAAAUUCCAAUGUGUGCGGAUCGGCAAAAAAUGCGGAAUAACCCUUUAACCGUACAUUUGACAGAUACGCGCGCAUUGACUUUUUCGUAGAUCUUAUUGAGAUACAUGUGUGUGUCAAUUUUUGUGUCAUUUUGCCAAAGCGUACAGGUGUUACACUCAACAAUGUGUAUUUUCACCUUAGGGGACAAGAAAAAAUGGACUUUUUUCUCCUGCCAUGGGGGGGCGCUCUUUUGGGGAGUAAAAAUUCCUUCACAAAUGUGUUGAUGGCUGGACAUUGCAUCAUCCUAGAAAACUUGGAGGCCAGUGAGGGCAAAAAUAAAAAGUUAUAAGACUUUUAAAUAUGUGGAUCUUAGGGUUAUCUUUGGCGCCCCCUAGAACCUAAACCGUGGGGUGCAGCGUCAUGAUUUGAAUAACUUUUAAUGGCCAUGGGGUGUAGAUUGGCCUGAGCAAAUGUGGUGCCGGUGGAACGAAAGCCUUCGGAGGAGUUAGCGAAAUUCCAAUGUGUGCGGAUCGGCAAAAAAUGCAAAAUAACCCUUUAACCGUACAUUUGACAGAUACGCCCGCAUUGACUUUUUUGUAGAUCUUAUUGAGAUACAUGUGUGUGUCAAUUUUUGUGUCAUUUUGACAAAGCGUACAGGCGUGACAGUGAAUAGUGUGAAUUUUCACCUUAGGGGGCGCUAUGGAGCCAUUUUGCAUUUUCUUGUUUGGGCGACUUCGGAAUAUCAAAUUUUUCACCAGGCCCGGUCGUCCUGCCAAAUUUCAUGAGUUUUCGCCAGUGGGAAGUGGGCCAUUUUCCAGUUCAAAGGGGAGGAAAAAUAAUAAUAACAAAAGAAGGAAACUACAGGAACAAGAGGGCUCUCGCAGCUGCUUAGCAGCUACGCUCGGGCCCUAAAGAAGGAAACUACAGGAACAAGAGGGCUCUCGCAGCUGCUUAGCAGCUACGCUCGGGCCCUAACUAGGGCCCCGGUGGGGCACUGUCGGGCCCGAGCCGCGUCGCGCCGCCCCCAGCGCGACCGCCUCCCCCUCCUGAUCGCAUCACACUCAAGGUCCAAAGAUGGUGUGCGCACUUGUCUGUGGUCAUUUCCCAUUAUAAUGAAUGGGAGGCGCAGUUUCUACCAAAACGGUCGCUGCAGACAAACUACAUGUCCUAUUUGAAAAAAGUGUGGAUCAUGAGUGAGGGCACAAACACAGCUAGGAUAUAUCCAAAUGGCAAGUUGCUCCUCCUUACGGUGUUGCCAGGAGAGCGAUGCGAUUGAGCCAUUGAGCGAUGGGCAGGGUUAACUGGACUUUUUCUCCUGCCUUGGGGGGGGGGGGGGGAUGUGGAUUCUUUUAAGAAUGUGGAUAUUUGGGUCAUCUUUGGCGCCCCCUAGAACGUAAACCAUGGGGUGCAGCGGCAUGAUUUUUACAACUUUGAAUGGCCAUGGGAUGUAGAUCGGCUUGAGCAAAUUUGGUGUCGGUGGAAAGAAAGCCUUAGGAGGAGUUAGCCACAUUCCAAUGUGUGCGAAUCGGCAAAAAAUGCGAAAUAGCCCUUUAACCGUACAUUUUACAGAUACGUGCCCAUUGACUUUUUCGUAGAUCUUAUUGAGAUACACGUGUGUAUCAAAUUUUGUGUCAUUUUGACAAAGCGUAUAGGCGUGACACUCAACAAUGUGUUUUUUCCCCUUAGGGGACAAGAAAAAAUGGACUUUUUUCUCCUGCCAUGGGGGGGCGCUCUUUUCGGGAGUAAAAAUUCCUUUACAAAUGUGUUGAUGGCUGGACAUUGCAUCAUCCUAGAAAACUUGGAGGCCAGUGAGGACAAAAAUAAAAAGUUAUAAGACUAUUAAGAAUGUGGAUUUUUGGGUUAUCUUUGGCGCCCCCUAGAACCUAAACCGUGGAGUGCAGCGUCAUGAUUUGUACAACUUUUAAUGGCCAUGGGGUGUAGAUUGGCCUGAGCAAAUUUGGUGGCGGUGGAACUAAAGCCUUCGGAGGAGUUAGCGAAAUUCCAAUGUGUGCGGAUCGGGAAAAAAUGCGAAAUAACCCUUUAACCGUACAUUUUACAGAUACGUGCCCAUUGACUUUUUCGUAGACCGUAUUGAGAUACACGUGUGUGUCAAUUUUUGUGUCAAUAUGACAAAGCGUACAGGCGUGACAGUCAAUAGUGUGAAUUUUCGCCUUAGGGGGCGCUAUGGAGCCAUUUUGCAUUUUAUUGUUUGGGCGACUUCAGAAUAUCGAAUUUUUCACCAGGCCCGGUCGUCCUGCCAAAUUUCAUGAGUUUUCGCCAGUGGGAAGUGGGCCAUUUUCCCCUUCAAAGGGGAGGAAAAAUAAGAAGAAAGAAAGAAAGAAAGAAGAAAGAAAAACCUAUACAGGAAUAAUAGGGCUCUACGCCCGGCUGCUCUGCAGCUGGCUCGGGCCCUAACUAGGGCCCCGGUGGGGCACUGUCGGGCCCGAGCCGCGUUGCGCCGCCCCCAGCGCGACCGCCUCCCCCUCCUGAUCGCGUCACACUCAAGGUCCAAAGAUGGUGUGCGCACUUGUCUGUGGUCAUUUCCCAUUAUAAUGAAUGGGAGGCGCAGUUUCUACCAAAACACUCGCUGCAGACAAACUACAUGUCCUAUUUGAAAAAAGUCUGGACCAUGAGUGAGGGCACAAACACAGCUAGGAUAUAUCCAAACGGCAAGUUGCUCCUCGUUACGGUGUUGCCGGGAGAGUGAUGCGAUUGAGCCAUUGAGUGAUGGGCAGGAAAAACUUGACUGUUUCUCCUGCCAUGGGGGUUUGGGGAUGGGGGGGGGAUGUGGAUUCUUUUAAGAAUGUGGAUAUUUGGGUCAUCUUUGGCGCCCCCUAGAACGUAAACCGUGGGGUGCAGCGUCAUGAUUUUUACAACUUUGAAUGGCCAUGGGGUGUAGAUUGGCCUGAGCAAAUUUGGUGUCAGUGGGACGAAAGCCUUAGGAGGAGUUAGCCACAUUCCAAUGUGUGCGAAUCGGCAAAAAAUGCAAAAUAGCCCUUUAACCGUACAUUUUACAGAUACGCGUGCAUUGACUUUUUCGUAGAUCUUAUUGAGAUACAUGUGUGUGUCAAAUUUUGUGUCAAUAUGACAAAGCGUACAGGCGUGACACUCAACAAUGUGUAUUUUCACCUUAGGGGACAAGAAAAAAUGGACUUUUUUCUCCUGCCAUGGGGGGGCGCUCUUUUGGGGAUUAAAAAUUCCUUCACAAAUGUGUUGAUGGCUGGACAUUGCAUCAUCCUAGAAAACUUGGAGGCCAGUGAGGGCAAAAAUAAAAAGUUAUAAGACUUUUAAAUAUGUGGAUUUUAGGGUUAUCUUUGGCGCCCCCUAGAACCUAAACCGUGGGGUGCAGCGUCAUGAUUUGAAUAACUUUUAAUGGCCAUGGGGUGUAGAUUGGCCUGAGCAAAUGUGGUGCCGGUGGAACGAAAGCCUUCGGAGGAGUUAGCGAAAUUCCAAUGUGUGCGGAUCGGCAAAAAAUGCGGAAUAACCCUUUAACCGUACAUUUGACAGAUACGCCCGCACUGACUUUUUUGUAGAUCUUAUUGAGAUACAUGUGUGUGUCAAUUUUUGUGUCAAUAUGACAAAGCGUAAAGGCGUGACAGUCAAUAGUGUGAAUUUUCACCUUAGGGGGCGCUAUGGAGCCAUUUUGCAUUUUCUUGUUUGGGCGACUUCGGAAUAUCAAAUUUUUCACCAGGCCCGGUCAUCCUGCCAAAUUUCAUGAGUUUUCGCCAGUGGGAAGUGGGCCAUUUUCCAGUUCAAAGGGGAGGAAAAAGAAGAAAGAAAGAAACAAAGAAAAACCACUUGGGGAAUAAUAGGGCUCUCGCAGCUGCUUAGCAGCUACGCUCGGGCCCUAACUAGGACCCCGUUGGGGCACUGGCGGGCCCGAGCUGUGUCGCAUCCCCCCCCCAACGCGCUGCCUCCCCGUCCCAUUUGUGUCCUCUGGCCAUCGCCCUCUCUGGUAACGCCCAUCACUGCAAAGACCCUUUUCCUUCAUCGGCGUUUGCUGUUCUUCCUUCCAGUGCGUGUUGCUUUCACUUACACUUGCCACAGCCAGCCUCGUGAGUGCCUAGCCUAUUGGAUAUCACUGUCACCUACACAGGACAGUCAUUACCUUUCUAUUAAUACUUUGUUUUUUAAUUUCACAUUAAUUUCCAUAUUGUAUAAACAACUGGAAAAAACUUGAGCCCCUGCCCCUGUAUAAUCAUGUGCACGUCUCUGUUCUAGCUGUAAGGUGAAUCUUCACUGCUCAUGUUCUCCUCAGAAGCAGUCACCUCACUCCCCUCAGGUUACUGUACACAUGCACCAACUGCCUGCUUCAGGUUUGGAUGGAGCUUCAUGGUUGUCUUUUGGAGAAAUGACCAGUCAAGUUGUGUUUGAAAUUUGAUUUUUUUCAGGGGCAAAAGGAGCCUCUGCAUUCUUGUCAAAUAUGUAAAUAGCAUGUUUUUGCAGGUGCUAAAAACCAGACUCUGAGUGUGUGUGUGUGCGUGUGUGUGUGUGUCUGUGUGUGUGUGUGUGUGUGUGUGUGUGUGUGUGUGCGUUCAAGUCACAUGACAUAUUUAACCGGAUGUAGCUGCAAGACGGAGCCUCGUUGACUCUCCGUUUCAACUUAUCUCAAAAGUGAGGACCUCAACCUAUAUACCAGUUUUUAAAUUGUGUUGAUAGGCCAAAUAAAACCAGAGUUAUGAUAAAUUAUGUCCGCGAUACUUGUUUUCUGCUUAUUUUGAUCACGUUCGGCGCUCGAUCGCGCUGUAUGAGACAGGAAAACAUAGCAUGCAGACAUUAGCGACAGGUCUUACAGGCGGAAAAGGCUUGCCAAAGGAAAAAAAAAACACACCACAACAUCUCUCCUAUUGGUGGAAAACUUCACCACAACAACCAAUCCAAAAUUAUAUGGUGACUGAUUGACAAGGGGCGGGCGCUUACGUUCUUCCUGCAAUAUGAGAAGGGAGGGAGGGACUCUCAGCAGGGAUGCAGUCUGGGACACGUAGUUGCAAACCUAGCGACUUUGUUGUUAGAUUCAAUGACUUUUCAGACCCCCUAACGACGUUUUUUUAGAAAGAAAGUGACUUUUAUCGACUUCUUCUGGAGUUUAGAGACUCUGACAUGAAGCAGGCUUUCCUUACUGAGGAGUUAGCAAUGCUGCUAAGGGUGCAGAGCCACACAUGCGCUCCGAGCUCUGCAUGGGAGACUGAAGCUGACAGAGCUGCAGCAGUUAGCAGGUUUCACCCUCAGAGACCACCAGGGGUUCAUGUUGAGGCAUUUUCAGUUUUUUUUUUUUUUUUGCCAUAGACACUGUCAGCACAAUCUGCAGUUACACUAACAAAAAUGCUGCAAAAAACAAAGAAUUAUGGAAAAAUUACACAUGGACUGACAUAGAGGAGGAUCUACACAAGUUUUUUACAUCAUGUUUUACAUCAUGCAUCAUUUACAUCAUGUUUUUUUGUAGUGGCAUAAAUAAAAAGUGACAUUUGUGAGACUAUACAGUGUUUUGUAAAUAAUUUUACAAAGAACACCUGGGCCAUUGCCUGCAUUUUGAUGUAAAUAGAGGUAAAUUACUAUGUUCUUUGUUAAAAAUUUGCAUAUGUUUUGAAGUUUACAAUUUUUAUUUGAAGUUUAAGUUUUAAAAACAGUUCAUCACACAUAUUUGUGGUUUUCACAGUAAAAACGUUACUUUUUUCCACUCGGAUUUUAUGUUUUGUGUGUGAAUUUGGGUCCAAUGUGUAAAUAUAGUAUGUCAAAAUGAUAAAAUAACUGUAAAUUGACACAGGUGAGGUUGUGCUGAAAAAAAUGAUACCAGGCAAGGCAAGGUAAAAAUUUUGUAAGAGGAAAUAUAAAGGUAAAAUCUAAAGUAGUCAAAAACGGCCAAUAGUGACUCACAGACUCCACAGACAAGUCCCUUUGGCGCCACUCAGUGGGCAAAACUACUUUGUCUACUGUAAUGUAUAUUUGGGUCAUCUUUGGCGCCCCCUAAAACGUAAACCGUGGGGUGCAGCGUCAUGAUUUUUACAACUUUGAAUGGCCAUGGAGUGUAGAUUGGUCUGAGCAAAUUUGGUGUCAGUGGGACGAAAGCCUUAGGAGGAGUUAGCGAAAUUCCAAUGUGUGCGAAUCGGCAAAAAAUUCAAAAUAGCCCUUUUACCGUACAUUAUACAGAUACACGCUCUUUGACUUUUUCGUAGAUCUAAUUGAGAUACACAUGACUGUCAAUUUUUGUGUCAAUAUGACAAAGCGUACAGGCGUGACACUCAACAAUGUGUAUUUUCACCUUAGGCGACAAGAAAAAAUUGACUUUUUUCUCCUGCCAUGGGGGGGCGCUCUUUUGGGGAGUAAAAAUUUCUUCAUAAAUGUGUUGAUGGCUGGACAUUGCAUCAUCCUAAAAAACUUGGAGGCCAGUGAGGACAAAAAUAAAAAGUUAUAAGACUUUGAAAUAUGUGGAUUUUAGGGUUAUAUUUGGCGCCCCCUAGAACCUAAACCGUGGGGUGCAGCAAGAUGAUUUGUACAACUUUUAAUGGCCAUGGGGUGUAGAUUGGCCUGAGCAAAUUUGGUGCCGGUGGAAAGAUAGCCUUCGGAGGAGUUAGCGAAAUUCCAAUGUGUGCGAAUCGGCAAAAAAUGCAAAAUAGCCCUUUAACCGUACAUUUGACAGAUACAUGCCCUUUGACUUUUUCGUAGAUCUUAUUAAGAUACACGUGAUUGUCAAAUUUUGUGUCAAUAUGACAAAGCAUACAGGCGUGACACUCGACAAUGUGUAUUUUCACCUUAGGAGACAAGAAAAAAUGGACCUUUUUCUCCUGCCAUUGGGGGGCGCUCUUUUGGGGAGUAAAAAUUCCUUCACAAAUGUGUUGAUGGCUGGACAUUGCUUCAUCCUAGAAAACUUGGAGGCCAGUGAGGACAAAAGACAAAAGUUAUAAGACUUUUAAGAAUGUGGAUUUUUGGGUUAUCUUUGGCGCCCCCUAGAACGUAAACCGUGGGGUGCAGCGUCAUGAUUUGUACAACUUUUAAUGGCCAUGGGGGGUAGAUUGGCCUGCGCAAAUGUGGUGCCGGUCGAACGAAAGCCUUCGGAGGAGUUAGCGAAAUUCCAAUGUGUGCGAAUCGGCAAAAAAUGCAAAAUAGCCCUUUAACCGUACAUUUGACAGAUACGCCCACACUGACUUUUUUGUAGAUCUUAUUGAGAUACAUGUGUGUGUCAAUUUUUGUGUCAAUAUGACAAAGCAUACAGGCGUCAUGUGAAUUUUCACCUUAGGGGGCGCUAUGGAGCCAUUUUGCAUUUUAUUGUUUGGGCGACUUCAGAAUAUCGAAUUUUUCACCAGGCCCGGUCGUCCUGCCAAAUUUCCUGAGUUUUCGCCAGUGGGAAAUGGGCCAUUUUCCAGUUUAAAGCGGAGGAAAAAUAACUAGGACCCCGUUGGGGCACUGGCGGGCCCGAGCUGUGUCGCGUCCCCCCCCCAACGCGCUGCCUCCCCGUCCCAUUUGUGUCCUCUGGCCAUCGCCCUCUUUGGUAACGCCCAUCACUGCAAAGACCCUUUUCCUUCAUCGGCGUUUGCUGUUCUUCCUGCCAGUGCGUGUUGCUUUCACUUACACUUGCCACAGCCAGCCUCGUGAGUGCCUAGCCUAUUGGAUAUCACUGUCACCUACACAGGACAGUCAUUACCUUUCUAUUAAUACUUUGUUUUUUAAUUUCACAUUAAUUUCCAAAUUGUAUAAACGACUGGAAAAAACUUGAGCCCCUGCCCCUGUAUAAUCAUGUGCACGUCUCUGUUCUAGCUCUAAGGUAAAUCUUCACUGCUCAUGUUCUCCCCAGAAGCAGUCACCUCACUCCCCUCAGGUUACUGUACACAUGCACCAACUGCCUGCUUCAGGUUUGGAUGGAGCUUCAUGGUUGUCUUUUGGAGAAAUGACCAGUCAAGUUGUGUUUGAAAUUUGAUUUUUUUCAGGGGCAAAAGGAGCCUCUGCAUUCUUGUCAAAUAUGUAAAUAGCAUGUUUUUGCAGGUGCUACAAACCAGACUCUGAGUGUGUGUGUGUGCGUGUGUGUGUGUCUGUGUGUGUGUGUGUGUGUGCGUUCAAGUCACAUGACAUAUUUAACCGGAUGUAGCUGCAAGACGGAGCCUCGUUGACUCUCCGUUUCAAUUUAUCUCAAAAGUGAGGACCUCAACCUAUAUACCAGUUUUUAAAUUGUGUUGAUAGGCCAAAUAAAACCAGAGUUAUGAUAAAUUAUGUCCGCGAUACUUGUUUUCUGCUUAUUUUGAUCACGUUCGGCGCUCGAUCGCGCUGUAUGAGACAGGAAAACAUAGCAUGCAGACAUUAGCGACAGGUCUUACAGGCGGAAAAGGCUUGCCAAAGGAAAAAAAAUACACACCACAACAUCUCUCCUAUUGGUGGAAAACUUCACCACAACAACCAAUCCAAAAUUAUAUGGUGACUGAUUGACAAGGGGCGGGAACUUACGUUCUUCCUGCAAUAUGAGAAGGGAGGGAGGGACUCUCAGCAGGGAUGCAGUCUGGGACACGUAGUUGCAAACCUAGCGACUUUGUUGUUAGAUUCAAUGACUUUUCAGACCCCCUAACGACUUUUUUUUAGAAAGAAAGUGACUUUUAUCGACUUCUUCUGGAGUUUAGAGACUCUGACAUGAAGCAGGCUUUCCUUACUGAGGAGUUAGCAACGCUGCUAAGGGUGCAGAGCCACACAUGCGCUCCGAGCUCUGCAUGGGAGACUGAAGCUGACAGAGCUGCAGCAGUUAGCAGGUUUCACCUUCAGAGACCACCAGGGGUUCAUGUUGAGGCAUUUUCAGUUUUUUUUUUUUUUUUUUGCCAUAGACACUGUCAGCACAAUCUGCAGUUACACUAACAAAAAUGCUGCAAAAAACAAAGAAUUAUGGAAAAAUUACACAUGGACUAACAUAGAGGAGGAUCUACACAAGUUUUUUACAUCAUGUUUUACAUCAUGCAUCAUUUACAUCAUGUUUUUUUGUAGUGGCAUAAAUAAAAAGUGACAUUUGUGAGACUAUACAGUGUUUUGUAAAUAAUUUUACAAAGAACACCUGGGCCAUUGCCUGCAUUUUGAUGUCAAUAGAGGUAAAUUACUAUGUUCUUAGUUAAAAAUUUGCAUAUGUUUUGAAGUUUACAAUUUUUAUUUGAAGUUUAAGUUUUAAAAACAGUUCAUCACACAUAUUUGUGGUUUUCACAGUAAAAAUGUUACUUUUUUCCACUCGGAUUUUAUGUUUUGUGUGUGAAUUUGGGUCCAAUGUGUAAAUAUAGUAUGUCAAAAUGGUAAAAUAACUGUAAAUUGACACAGGUGAGGUUGUGCUGAAAAAAAUGAUACCAGGCAAGGCAAGGUAAAAAUUUUGUAAGAGGAAAUAUAAAGGUAAAAUCUAAAGUAGUCAAAAACGGCCAAUAGUGACUCACAGACUCCACAGACAAGUCCCUUUGGCGCCACUCAGUGGGCAAAACUACUUUGUCUACUGUAAUGUAUAUUUGGGUCAUCUUUGGCACCCCCUAAAACGUAAACCGUGGGGUGCAGCGUCAUGAUUUUUACAACUUUGAAUGGCCAUGGAGUGUAGAUUGGCCUGAGCAAAUUUGGUGUCAGUGGGACGAAAGCCUUAGGAGGAGUUAGCGAAAUUCCAAUGUGUGCGAAUCGGCAAAAAAUGCAAAAUAGCCCUUUUACCGUACAUUAUACAGAUACGCGCUCUUUGACUUUUUCGUAGAUCUAAUUGAGAUACACAUGAUUGUCAAUUUUUGUGUCAUUUUGACAAAGCGUACAGGCGUGACAGUCAACAAUGUGUAUUUUCACCUUAGGGGACAAGAAAAAAUGGACUUUUUUCUCCUGCCAUGGGGGGCGCUCUUUUGGGGAGUAAAAAUUCCUUCACAAAUGUGUUGAUGGCUGGACAUUGCAUCAUCCUAGAAAACUUGGAGGCCAGUGAGGACAAAAAUAAAAAGUUAUAAGACUUUUAAAAAUGUGGAUUUUAGGGUUAUCUUUGGCGCCCCCUAGAACCUAAACCGUGGGGUGCAGCGUCAUGAUUUUGAUAACUUUUAAUGGCCAUGGGGUGUAGAUUGGCCUGAGCAAAUGUGGUGCCGGUGGAACGAAAGCCUUCGGAGGAGUUAGCGAAAUUCCAAUGUGUGCGGAUCGGCAAAAAAUGCGAAAUAACCCUUUAACCGUACAUUUGACAGAUACGCGCCCAUUGACUUUUUCGUAGAUCUUAUUGAGUUACAUGUGUGUGUCAAUUUUUGUGUCAUUUUGACAAAGCGUAUAGGCGUGACACUCAACAAUGUGUAUUUUCACCUUAGGGGACAAGAAAAAAUGGACUUUUUUCUCCUGCCAUGGGGGGGCGCUCUUUUGGGGAGUAAAAAUUCCUUCACAAAUGUGUUGAUGGCUGGACAUUGCAUCAUCCUAGAAAACUUGGAGGCCAGUGAGGACAAAAAUAAAAAGUUAUAAGACUUUUAAAUAUGUGGAUUUUAGGGUUAUCUUUGGCGCCCCCUAGAACCUAAACCUUGGGGUGCAGCAUCAUGAUUUUGAUAACUUUUAAUGGCCACGGGGUGUAGAUUGGCCUGAGCAAAUGUGGUGCCGGUGGAACGAAAGCCUUCGGAGGAGUUAGCGAAAUUCCAAUGUGUGCAGAUCGGCAAAAAAUGCGAAAUAACCCUUUAACCGUAAUUUUGACAGAUACGGCCGCACUGACUUUUUUGUAGAUCUUAUUGAGAUACAUGUGUGUGUCAAUUUUUGUGUCAUUUUGACAAAGCGUACAGUCGUGACAGUGAAUAGUGUGAAUUUUCACCUUAGGGGGCGCUAUGGAGCCAUUUUGCAUUUUAUUGUUUUGGCGACUUCAGAAUAUCAAAUUUUUCACCAGGCCCGGUCGUCCUGCCAAAUUUCAUGAGUUUUCGCCAGUGGGAAGUGGGCCAUUUUCCAGUUCAAAGGGGAGGAAAAAGAAAAAACUAGGGCCCCGUUGGGGCACUGGCGGGCCCGAGCCGUGUCACGCCGCCCCCAGCGCGACCGCCUCCCCCACCCGAUCGCGUCACACUCAAGGUCCAAAGAUGGUGUGCGCACUUGUUUGUGGUCAUUUACCAUUAUAAUGAACGGGAGGCGCAGUUUCUACCAAAACGCUCGCUGCAGAAAAACUCCAUGUCCUAUUUGAAAAAAGUCUGGACCAUGAGUGAGGGCACAAAUACAGCUAAGAUAUAUCCAAAUGGCAAGUUGCUCCUCCUUUCGCUUUUGCCGAGAGAGCAGUGCGUUUGAGCCAUUGAAUGAUGAACAGGAAAAACUUGACUUUAUUCUCCUGCCAUGGGGGGCGCUCUUUUAAAGAGAAAAAACUCCUUCACAAAUGUGUUGAUGGCUGGACAUUGCAUCAUCCUAGAAAACAUGGAGGCCAGUGAGGACAAAAAUAAAAAGUUAUAAGACUUUUAAAUAUGUGGAUUUUAGGGUUAUCUUUGGCGCCCCCUAGAACCUAAACCGUGGGGUGCAGCGUCAUGAUUUGAAUAACUUUUAAUGGCCAUGGGGUGUAGAUUGGCCUGAGCAAAUGUGGUGCCGGUGGAACGAAAGCCUUCGGAGGAAUUAGCGAAAUUCCAAUGUGUGCGAAUCUGCAAAAAAUGCGAAAUAACCCUUUAACCGUACAUUUUACAGAUACGAGCCCAUUGACUUUUUCGAAGAUCUUAUUGAAAUACACGUGUAUGUAAAAUUUUGUGUCAAUACGACAAAACAUACAGGCGUAGCACUCAACAAUGUGUAUUUUCACCUUAGUGGACAAGAAAAAAUUGACUUUUUUCUCCUGCCAUGGGGGGGCGCUCUUUUGCCGAGUAAAAAUUCCUUCACAAAUGUGUUGAUGGCUGGACAUUGCAUCAUCCUAGAAAACUUGGAGGCCAGUGAGGGCAAAAAUAAAAAGUUAUAAGACUUUUAAAUAUGUGGAUCUUAGGGUUAUCUUUGGCUCCCCCUAGAACCUAAACCGUGGGGUGCAGCGUCAUGAUUUGAAUAACUUUUAAUGGCCAUGGGGUGUAGAUUGGCCUAAGCAAAUGUGGUGCCGGUGGAACGAAAGC